RNAcentral lists this ribosomal RNA (253 nucleotides) under uncultured bacterium. RNAcentral describes it as "partial 16S ribosomal RNA". It matches the Rfam family "Bacterial small subunit ribosomal RNA", at positions 524 to 776 of the family's 1533-position model. The record is from RNAcentral.
UACGGAGGGGGCUAGCGUUGUUCGGAAUUACUGGGCGUAAAGCGUACGUAGUCGGCUUUGUAAGUUAGAGGUGAAAGCCCAGGGCUUAACCCUGGAAUUGCCUUUAAGACUGCAUCGCUAGAAUUGUGGAGAGGUAAGUGGAAUUCCGAGUGUAGAGGUGAAAUUCGUAGAUAUUCGGAAGAACACCAGUGGCGAAGGCGACUUACUGGACACAUAUUGACGCUGAGGUGCGAAAGCGUGGGGAGCAAACAGG